Non-coding RNA from Acanthosepion pharaonis, 114 nucleotides. Lineage: Eukaryota; Metazoa; Mollusca; Cephalopoda; Sepiida; Sepiidae. The record is from the annotation of a GenBank genome assembly.
UUACGGCCACAUCACGUUGAAACAUCGGUUCCCGUACGAUCAGCAAAGUUAAGCAACGCCGAGCCUGGUCAGUACCUAGAUGCAUUAACGCUUGUGAAUACCAGGUGCUGUAAG